This 254-nucleotide ribosomal RNA is filed under the name uncultured bacterium. Its description in RNAcentral is "partial 16S ribosomal RNA". It matches the Rfam family "Bacterial small subunit ribosomal RNA", at positions 524 to 776 of the family's 1533-position model. The record is from RNAcentral.
UACGUAGGGGCCAAGCGUUGUCCGGAUUUAUUGGGCGUAAAGAGCUCGUAGGCGGUUGGGUAAGUCGGGUGUGAAAACUCCAGGCUCAACUUGGAGAGGCCACCCGAUACUGCUCUGACUUGAGUUCGGUAGGGGAGUGGGGAAUUCCUGGUGUAGCGGUGAAAUGCGCAGAUAUCAGGAGGAACACCGGUGGCGAAGGCGCCACUCUGGGCCGAAACUGACGCUGAGGAGCGAAAGCGUGGGUAGCAAACAGG